This 467-nucleotide ribosomal RNA is filed under the name uncultured Comamonadaceae bacterium. RNAcentral describes it as "bacterial SSU rRNA". It matches the Rfam family "Bacterial small subunit ribosomal RNA", at positions 336 to 795 of the family's 1533-position model. The record is from RNAcentral. Lineage: Bacteria; Pseudomonadati; Pseudomonadota; Betaproteobacteria; Burkholderiales; Comamonadaceae.
UUCCUACGGGGGGCAGCAGUGGGGAAUUUUGGACAAUGGGGGCAACCCUGAUCCAGCCAUGCCGCGUGCGGGAAGAAGGCCUUCGGGUUGUAAACCGCUUUUGUCAGGGAAGAAACGCUCUGAGCUAAUACCUUGGGGUAAUGACGGUACCUGAAGAAUAAGCACCGGCUAACUACGUGCCAGCAGCCGCGGUAAUACGUAGGGUGCAAGCGUUAAUCGGAAUUACUGGGCGUAAAGCGUGCGCAGGCGGUCUUGCAAGGCAGAUGUGAACUCCCCGGGCUCAACCUGGGAACUGCAUUUGUGACUGCAAGGCUGGAGUGCGGCAGAGGGGGAUGGAAUUCCGCGUGUAGCAGUGAAAUGCGUAGAUAUGCGGAGGAACACCGAUGGCGAAGGCAAUCCCCUGGGCCUGCACUGACGCUCAUGCACGAAAGCGUGGGGAGCAAACAGGAUUAGAUACCCGUGUAGUC